RNAcentral lists this ribosomal RNA (459 nucleotides) under uncultured bacterium. RNAcentral's name for it is "partial 16S ribosomal RNA". It matches the Rfam family "Bacterial small subunit ribosomal RNA", at positions 338 to 795 of the family's 1533-position model. The record is from RNAcentral.
CCUACGGGUGGCAGCAGUGAGGAAUAUUGGUCAAUGGGCGGAAGCCUGAACCAGCCAAGCCGCGUGCAGGAAGACGGUCCUGCGUAUCGUAAACCUCUUUUGUACGGGGACAAACGCGGAGACUAGUACCCGGAUGAGGGUACCUGACGAAAAAGCAUCGGCUAACUCCGUGCCAGCAGCCGCGGUAAUACGGAGGAUGCAAGCGUUAUCCGGAUUUAUUGGGUUUAAAGGGUGCGCAGGCGUCCGGUUAAGUUAGCGGUAAAAGCCCGGGGCUCAACUCCGGAGAGCCGUUGAUUCUGUCCGGCUAGAGUGGGGGAGAGGUAGGCGGAAUGUGUGGUGUAGCGGUGAAAUGCUUAGAGAUCGCGCAGAACACCGAUUGCGAAGGCAGCGUACCGGCUCAACACUGACGUUGAGGCACGAAAGCGUGGGGAGCGAACAGGAUUAGAUACCCUAGUAGUC